UACAGAGGGGGCAAGCGUUAUUCGGAAUUAUUGGGCGUAAAGGGCGCGUAGGCGGUUUUUUAAGUCGGAUGUGCAAUCCCCGAGCUCAACUUGGGAACUGCAUCCGAGACUGGAGAGCUAGAGUGCUGGAGAGGGUGGUGGAAUUCCACGUGUAGCGGUGAAAUGCGUAGAGAUGUGGAGGAACACCAGUGGCGAAGGCGGCCACCUGGACAGUAACUGACGCUGAGGCGCGAAAGUGUGGGGAGCAAACAGGAUUAGAUACCCUGGUAGUCCACGCUGUAAACGAUGAACACUUGGUGUGGCGGGAGUUGACCCCCGCCGUGCCGGAGCUAACGCGUUAAGUGUUCCGCCUGGGGAGUACGGUCGCAAGGCUGAA
This 376-nucleotide ribosomal RNA is filed under the name uncultured bacterium. RNAcentral's name for it is "bacterial SSU rRNA". It matches the Rfam family "Bacterial small subunit ribosomal RNA", at positions 524 to 898 of the family's 1533-position model. The record is from RNAcentral.